This 292-nucleotide ribosomal RNA is filed under the name uncultured bacterium. RNAcentral's name for it is "partial 16S ribosomal RNA". It matches the Rfam family "Bacterial small subunit ribosomal RNA", at positions 505 to 796 of the family's 1533-position model. The record is from RNAcentral.
GUGUCAGCAGCCGCGGUAAUACAGAGGGUGCGAGCGUUAAUCGGAAUUACUGGGUGUAAAGGGCGCGUAGGCGGCAAGAUGUGUGUGAUGUGAAAGCCCCGGGCUCAACCUGGGAAGUGCAUUGCAAACUGUCUGGCUAGAGUAUAUGAGAGGGUGGCGGAAUUUCCGGUGUAGCGGUGAAAUGCGUAGAGAUCGGAAGGAACGUCAAUGGCGAAGGCAGCCACCUGGCAUAAUACUGACGCUGAGGCGCGAAAGCGUGGGGAGCGAACAGGAUUAGAAACCCGGGUAGUCC